GGAGAGGUGGCAGAGUGGUCGAAUGUACCUGACUCGAAAUCAGGCGUACGCGCGAGCGUACCGUGGGUUCGAAUCCCACCCUCUCCGCCA
Molecule: transfer RNA, 90 nt
Filed under: Massilia aurea
Lineage: Bacteria; Pseudomonadati; Pseudomonadota; Betaproteobacteria; Burkholderiales; Oxalobacteraceae
Also listed under: 18 other names
Description: tRNA-Ser
Rfam family: tRNA
About the family: Transfer RNA (tRNA) molecules are approximately 80 nucleotides in length. Their secondary structure includes four short double-helical elements and three loops (D, anti-codon, and T loops).
Source: RNAcentral